AGAGGAAGAAACAUUUCUCUCUGCAUGGUCUUUUUAAAAGAAGCCAUGUUAAUAAUGUGAAAUCAGUAUAACGCUUGCUGGAGGUCAGACUCACCAGAGCACGCUAAAGAUUGUGUGUUACUGUAGUGAUGUCAGUCAGAAUGGCUCCUCCUUUUGCUCUGGUGUUUCUGCUCAUGAUUCAUGGAGUUUAUGGGCAGUAUGAUUGGGGUGCGAGUUAUGGCUCUUCACACAUCUGUGCAAUAAAAGGGUCAACAGUGACAAUCCACUGUACUUAUACAUACCCUACUGGACAUCAGAUCAUGAAAGUGUUCUGGACCAAA
Sinocyclocheilus grahami is the source of this 320-nucleotide long non-coding RNA. RefSeq lists it as uncharacterized. The record is from RefSeq and is a predicted model, not a curated record. The transcript is spliced from 3 exons. NCBI's taxonomy places the organism in Eukaryota, Metazoa, Chordata, Actinopteri, Cypriniformes, Cyprinidae.